CUUAAACGUAUCCUAAAACAUGCUAUGUUACAAUAGGAAAAGUUUAGUAUUAACACAAGCUCUUUUAAACUCAGUAAAGUGAGAUAAGACCUAGACAUGAAAAAUCAUAUAGUCUAAAAGUGAUGAAAUAAGGAGACACAAAGUGGUAUGCCUAUCAGAUUGUCAAAAAUAGAAGAGUAAUAAUAGCUGAGUUUUGGCAAGGCUGAGAGAAGCAAAAAGUCUUCUGACUUAGUAAUUCUGCUCCAAAGUUCAUUUAAAGAAAUAACUGGACAAGUUUGAAAGGAAGUGUGUGUGUGUGUGUGUAGAUAGAUACAGAUAUAAGGCACAGUGACAAACUGGAAGUCAUCUAAGUAUCCAGUAGAAGACUACUUA
Molecule: long non-coding RNA, 372 nt
Filed under: Bos taurus (domestic cattle)
Lineage: Eukaryota; Metazoa; Chordata; Mammalia; Artiodactyla; Bovidae
Description: long non-coding RNA NONBTAT023707
Source: RNAcentral